GCUAAAAAUUUAGCCCCACCCAUCCGUAUAUUCCUUCCGUAUUUAUUUCUACAAACUAAAACAUUUUCUAUAUUUAGUAAAGGCGAUUAAAAAAUUUUUCUGGAGCAAUAAUUAUAGUACCGCAAGGGAAAAAAUGAAAUAAAAAUGAAAUAUUCUCAAGCAUAAAAAAGUAGAGCUAAAUCCUCGUACCUUUUGCAUCAUGAUUUAACUAGUCUAAUAAAGCAAAAAGAUUUUUAGUUUUAAUUCCCGAACCUAGACGAGCUAUCUUAGGGCAGCUUCAUGAGCGAACCCGUCUCUGUCGCAAAAGAGUGGGAAGACCCUAUAAUAGCGGUGACAGACCUAACGAGUCUAGCGAUAGCUGGUUGCUCAUAAAUAGGAUUUUAGUCCUGCUUAAAGCUUAAUUUAUACAAAAAAAUUUUCAUCUUUAAAGUUAUUCAAAUAAGGUACAGCCUAUUUGAAAAAGGAAACAACCUCAACUAUUGGGUUAUUAUUUUCUAGUCCAUGGUAAAGUAGGCUUAAAAGCAGCCACCUUAAACAAUAGCGUCAAAGCUUAACCAUCUUCUUUUAAAAAUUCCUCAACUUCUCCUCAACCCAUUUUUAUUAAAGAGCAAUUCUAUAUAUUUAUAGAAGAUUUAAUGUUAAAACUAGUAAUAAGAAGCAGACCCUUCUCUUUAAUGUAAACUUAUAUCAGCAAGGACACCCCACUGAUCUUUAACGUCCCUAAAAUUAUAGUAAAAACUUAUCAAGAAAACAUUACUCUUAUUUACGUUAACCUUACACAAGAGCAUUUUAAGAAAGAUUUAAAGGAAAAGAAGGAACUCGGCAAAUAUUAGCCCCGCCUGUUUACCAAAAACAUCGCCUCUUGACUAUUAAUAAGAGGUCCAGCCUGCCCAGUGACUCUGUUCAACGGCCGCGGUAUCCUAACCGUGCGAAGGUAGCGUAAUCACUUGUUCUUUAAAUGAGGACUAGUAUGAAUGGCCCCACGAAGGCUACACUGUCUCCUUUUCCUAAUCAAUGAAACUAAUCUUCCCGUGAAGAAGCGGGGAAUAAUAAUAUAAGACGAGAAGACCCUAUGGAGCUUUAAACUAUAGAAACACUUGCUUUAUACCUUUAACCCUCCCGAGGUUUUCCAAAUAUUUAAGCAAUAUUUAUUUCUAGUUUUAGGUUGGGGUGACCACGGAGUAAAAUUUAACCUCCAUGAUGAAAGAGACCCUCUCUUAGCUAAAAGCUACCUCUUUAAGCACCAACAAAUUGACUCUCAUUGACCCAAUUAAUUGAUCAACGAACCAAGUUACCCUAGGGAUAACAGCGCAAUCUACCUCGAGAGCUCAUAUCGACAGGUGGGUUUACGACCUCGAUGUUGGAUCAGGGUAUCCUAGUGGUGCAGCCGCUACUGAUGGUUCGUUUGUUCAACGAUUAAAACCCUACGUGAUCUGAGUUCAGACCGGAGCAAUCCAGGUCAGUUUCUAUCUAUAAAGAGUAUUUUCCAGUACGAAAGGACCGAAAAAACAUGGCCUAUACAUUAUGCAAGCC
RNAcentral lists this ribosomal RNA (1533 nucleotides) under Epipedobates sp. F JCS-2008. RNAcentral's name for it is "16S ribosomal RNA". It matches the Rfam family "Bacterial large subunit ribosomal RNA", at positions 133 to 2722 of the family's 2925-position model. The record is from RNAcentral. Lineage: Eukaryota; Metazoa; Chordata; Amphibia; Anura; Dendrobatidae.